GUCAAGCAAUUAAGCGUACGUGGUGGAUGCCUUGGCAAUUAGAGGCGAUGAAGGACGUGGUAGGCCACGAAAGUCCUCGGGGAGCAGUCAAACAUGCUUUGAUCCGGGGGUAUCCGAAUGGGGAAACCCACCUAAUUUAUUAGGUAUCGCACACUGAAUACAUAGGUGUGCGAGGCGAACGCGGAGAACUGAAACAUCUAAGUACCCGCAGGAAAAGAAAUCAACCG
RNAcentral lists this ribosomal RNA (227 nucleotides) under uncultured Amoebophrya. RNAcentral describes it as "partial Bacterial large subunit ribosomal RNA". It matches the Rfam family "Bacterial large subunit ribosomal RNA", at positions 1 to 231 of the family's 2925-position model. The record is from RNAcentral. Lineage: Eukaryota; Dinophyceae; Syndiniales.